UACGUAGGGGGCAAGCGUUAUCCGGAAUUACUGGGCGUAAAGCGCACGCAGGCGGUCUUUUAAGUUUGACGUGAAAGCUCCCGGCUUAACUGGGAGAGGUCGUUGAAUACUGGAAGACUUGAGGCAAUGAGAGGGGUGUAGAAUUCCCGGUGUAGUGGUGGAAUGCGUAGAUAUCGGGGGGAAUACCAGUGGCGAAAGCGGCACCCUAGCGUUAGCCUGACGCUCAUGUGCGAAAGCGUGGGGAGCGAACGGG
RNAcentral lists this ribosomal RNA (253 nucleotides) under uncultured bacterium. RNAcentral's name for it is "partial 16S ribosomal RNA". It matches the Rfam family "Bacterial small subunit ribosomal RNA", at positions 524 to 776 of the family's 1533-position model. The record is from RNAcentral.